This 321-nucleotide ribosomal RNA is filed under the name uncultured eukaryote. Its description in RNAcentral is "partial 18S ribosomal RNA". It matches the Rfam family "Eukaryotic small subunit ribosomal RNA", at positions 1470 to 1796 of the family's 1831-position model. The record is from RNAcentral.
CCCUUAGAUGUCCUGGGCCGCACGCGCGCUACACUGACAUGUUCAACAAGCCUCCUAGUUCGACAGGAUUUGGGAAAUCUUUGAACGCAUGUCGUGAUAGGGAUAGAUCAUUGCAAUUAUUGAUCUUGAACGAGGAAUUCCUAGUAAACGCGAGUCAUCAGCUCGCAUUGAUUACGUCCCUGCCCUUUGUACACACCGCCCGUCGCACCUACCGAUUGAAUGUUUCGGUGAAGAUUCCGGAUAGGACUUUUUUGAUUUAUUUCGAUUCUGUCUUAAAAGCUAUCUAAACCUCAACAUUUAGAGGAAGGUGAAGUCGUAACA